AGUUGUUCCGCCAGGAGCAUUGCUGGGUAGCUACGUUGGGAAGGGAUAAGCGCUGAAAGCAUAUAAGCGCGAAACCCACCACAAGAUGAGAUUUCUUUAAAGGGUCGUGGAAGAUGACCACGUCGAUAGGCUACAGGUGUAAAGGCGGUAACGUCAUAGCCGAGUAGUACUAAUAACCCAUAGGCUUAUUGUA
Molecule: ribosomal RNA, 193 nt
Filed under: Winogradskyella sp.
Lineage: Bacteria; Pseudomonadati; Bacteroidota; Flavobacteriia; Flavobacteriales; Flavobacteriaceae
Description: partial 23S ribosomal RNA
Rfam family: Bacterial large subunit ribosomal RNA
Source: RNAcentral